AGAUUGAUGUUUCACAGCGCUGUGCCAGCUCCAAAAACUGAAAAAAAACAAUAACAAUCCCAAAGUAUAAGCCUGUCAUCUCGCCUGUGACUCGCACAAUCCUACGCCGUGUGUGCGCUGCAGGUGUAGCCAGUUCAAAGAUCCAUUCCGCAGCACAUCAGCUCUGCGAAUGGUCCGCAUAUGUUACACGUUCAAUGUAGCCAAAGCAUAAGUAUUAGAUUUCACUAACA
Long non-coding RNA from Etheostoma cragini (Arkansas darter), 230 nucleotides. RefSeq lists it as uncharacterized. The record is from RefSeq and is a predicted model, not a curated record. The transcript is spliced from 3 exons. NCBI's taxonomy places the organism in Eukaryota, Metazoa, Chordata, Actinopteri, Perciformes, Percidae.